Non-coding RNA from Cloacibacillus evryensis DSM 19522, 100 nucleotides. It matches the Rfam family "Bacterial small signal recognition particle RNA". From Rfam's summary of the family: The signal recognition particle (SRP) is a universally conserved ribonucleoprotein involved in the co-translational targeting of proteins to membranes. NCBI's taxonomy places the organism in Bacteria, Thermotogati, Synergistota, Synergistia, Synergistales, Synergistaceae. The record is from Rfam.
ACUCCAGUCCCAUGCGGCGCGAGCCCGUGAACCUCGUCAGGUCCGGAAGGAAGCAGCGAUAAGCGGAAUCUUGCGGGUGCCAUGGGAGCGCUGGAGUUCC